This 326-nucleotide ribosomal RNA is filed under the name Halomonas sp. ND9. RNAcentral's name for it is "bacterial SSU rRNA". It matches the Rfam family "Bacterial small subunit ribosomal RNA", at positions 1161 to 1485 of the family's 1533-position model. Lineage: Bacteria; Pseudomonadati; Pseudomonadota; Gammaproteobacteria; Oceanospirillales; Halomonadaceae. The record is from RNAcentral.
AACCGGAGGAAGGUGGGGACGACGUCAAGUCAUCAUGGCCCUUACGGGUAGGGCUACACACGUGCUACAAUGGUCGGUACAAAGGGUUGCGAUACCGCGAGGUGGAGCUAAUCCCAUAAAGCCGGUCUCAGUCCGGAUCGGAGUCUGCAACUCGACUCCGUGAAGUCGGAAUCGCUAGUAAUCGUGAAUCAGAAUGUCACGGUGAAUACGUUCCCGGGCCUUGUACACACCGCCCGUCACACCAUGGGAGUGGACUGCACCAGAAGUGGUUAGCUUAACCUUCCGGGGGAGCGAUCACCACGGUGUGGUUCAUGACUGGGGUGAAG